GAAAGAGAAAAGAAAGAAAGAAAGAAAGAAAGAAAGGAAAGAAAGAAAGAAAAAGAAAGAAAGAAAAGACUUACUGGUUUGAGUCACUACCUCUGGGAUAAAUAAAUUGGCUAUAUUUGAAAAAAUUUUUAGAGAGCUCACAUCCUAAACAGCUGUAUUACUGAUACCUAUGGUUUAAUCCAACUGAAAAGAAGACAAAAUGGAUUUAAAGA
Long non-coding RNA from Nomascus leucogenys (northern white-cheeked gibbon), 212 nucleotides. RefSeq lists it as uncharacterized. The record is from RefSeq and is a predicted model, not a curated record. The transcript has 3 exons. Lineage: Eukaryota; Metazoa; Chordata; Mammalia; Primates; Hylobatidae.